Oncorhynchus keta (chum salmon) is the source of this 514-nucleotide long non-coding RNA. RefSeq lists it as uncharacterized. The transcript has 4 exons. The record is from RefSeq and is a predicted model, not a curated record. NCBI's taxonomy places the organism in Eukaryota, Metazoa, Chordata, Actinopteri, Salmoniformes, Salmonidae.
CCGGUCCUUCUAGCAUGUACUAAAGGUUCUCCCUAUUUAGUUCAGUUCCCGGUCCUUCUAGCAUGUACUAAAGGUUCUCCCUAUUUAGUUCAGUUCCCGGUCCUUCUAGCAUGUACUAAAGGUUCUCCCUAUUUAGUUCAGUUCCCGGUCCUUCUAGCAUGUACUAAAGGUUCUCCCUAUUUAGUUCAGUUCCCGGUCCUUCUAGCAUGGACUAAAGGUUCUCCCUAUUUAGUUCAGUUCCCAGUCCUUCUAGCAUGUACUAAAGGUUCUCCCUAUUUAGUUCAGUUCCCGGUCCUUCUAGCAUGUACUAAAGGUUCUCCCUAUUUAGUUCAGUUCCCAGUCCUUCUAGCAUGUACUAAAGGUUCUCCCUAUUUAGUUCAGUUCCCGGUCCUUCUAGCAUGUACUAAAGGUUCUCCCUAUUUAGUUCAGUUCCCAGUACUUCUAGCAUGUACUAAAGGUUCUCCCUAUUCCCUAUUUAGUUCAGUUCCCAGUCCUUCUAGCAUGGACUAAAGGU